Molecule: long non-coding RNA, 267 nt
Organism: Arabidopsis thaliana (thale cress)
Lineage: Eukaryota; Viridiplantae; Streptophyta; Magnoliopsida; Brassicales; Brassicaceae
Product: other RNA
Exons: 1
Source: RefSeq
GUCUUUGUUUUGUUGCCUUCUCAGUAUUUGUAAUUAACGGCACAAGUAGUGCGUCUAUGAAACCCCCUAGACCCUUUAUUCUCUAGUGUAACUUUUUUGCAAGCUAGGCCUUUGUCCAAAUCGAAACGUUUACUUUAAGCUUCUGACUAAAUAACUCUCUUGUCUCCUGGAAAAUCUAAGUGAUUGCUUCAUCGAUGUUGCAGUUUUGGAUCCUCUUCCAUGUCCGACAAUUGUGUGAGAUUUUAAAGAAAAACAAAACAUUAUGCA